Long non-coding RNA from Engraulis encrasicolus (European anchovy), 386 nucleotides. RefSeq lists it as uncharacterized. Lineage: Eukaryota; Metazoa; Chordata; Actinopteri; Clupeiformes; Engraulidae. The record is from RefSeq and is a predicted model, not a curated record. The transcript has 3 exons.
UUUUGCUGAAGUGGGCGGGUUUUGGAACGUGAGUGGGCGGAAAUCGCUCAACCUAAUCUGGCAACAAUGGUGGCAGACUCUGAAGGAAGUCUGCACCAUCUUGGCACCCUUUGAGGAGGUCACAAAGGAGAUGAGUGCUGAGAGGUUUGUAACAGCUUCAAAGCCCAUCUUGAUACAGCGAGGCCACGGGGUAAGGUGAGCCACCCCCUUUUUCUCGAAAAAGGUGAAGCCAACGCAAGCGUCCUCUUCAACAUUGACAACAGAAAGCCCAGACACAGACUGCACUCCAGCCCAAGUCCAAGUGGCGGCUUGUUUUUAAAAAAAAAUAAACACAUGCAUUACACAUAUGCUUUUCUUCUUUUGCAUAACUAGGCUAACUAAGGGUA